ACGGAGGCAGCAGUGGGGAAUAUUGGGCAAUGGGCGAAAGCCUGACCCAGCAACGCCGCGUGAAGGAAGAAGGUCUUCGGAUUGUAAACUUCUUUUAUGAGGGACGAAGGACGUGACGGUACCUCAUGAAUAAGCCACGGCUAACUACGUGCCAGCAGCCGCGGUAAUACGUAGGUGGCAAGCGUUAUCCGGAUUUACUGGGUGUAAAGGGCGCGUAGGCGGGAGAGCAAGUCAGAUGUGAAAUCCAUGGGCUUAACCCAUGAACUGCAUUUGAAACUGUUCUUCUUGAGUGCUGGAGAGGUAGACGGAAUUCCUUGUGUAGCGGUGAAAUGCGUAGAUAUAAGGAAGAACACCAGUGGCGAAGGCGGUCUACUGGACAGUAACUGACGCUGAGGCGCGAAAGCGUGGGGAGCAAACAGGAUUAGAUACCCUGGUA
RNAcentral lists this ribosomal RNA (436 nucleotides) under uncultured Oscillospiraceae bacterium. RNAcentral's name for it is "partial 16S ribosomal RNA". It matches the Rfam family "Bacterial small subunit ribosomal RNA", at positions 341 to 792 of the family's 1533-position model. Lineage: Bacteria; Bacillati; Bacillota; Clostridia; Eubacteriales; Oscillospiraceae. The record is from RNAcentral.